RNAcentral lists this ribosomal RNA (789 nucleotides) under uncultured archaeon. RNAcentral's name for it is "bacterial SSU rRNA". It matches the Rfam family "Archaeal small subunit ribosomal RNA", at positions 85 to 879 of the family's 1478-position model. The record is from RNAcentral.
ACGGCUCAGUAACACGUGGACAAUCUAACCUACGGAAGAGGAUAACCCCGGGAAACUGGGGAUAAUACUCUAUAGACUAUGGAGGCUGGAAUGCACUGUAGUCCAAAGGUCCGCCGCCGUAGGAUGGGUCUGCGGCCGAUUAGGUAGUUGUUGGGGUAACGGCCCAACAAGCCUGUAAUCGGUACGGGUUGUGGGAGCAAGAGCCCGGAGAUGGAUUCUGAGACACGAAUCCAGGCCCUACGGGGCGCAGCAGGCGCGAAAACUUUACAAUGCGGGAAACCGUGAUAAGGGAACUCCGAGUGCCCGUUAAAUCGGGCUGUCCACCAGUUUAAAAAACUGGUGAAGAAAGGGCCGGGCAAGACCGGUGCCAGCCGCCGCGGUAAUACCGGCGGCUCGAGUGGUGGCCACUAUUACUGGGCUUAAAGCGUUCGUAGCUGGUUUGUUAAGUCUCUGGGGAAAUCUUCCGGCUUAACCGGAAGGCGUCUCAGGGAUACUGGCAGACUAGGGACCGGAAGAGGUGAGGGGUACUUCAGGGGUAGGAGUGAAAUCCUGUAAUCCUUGAGGGACCACCUGUGGCGAAGGCGCCUCACCAGGACGGCUCCGACAGUGAGGGACGAAAGCUGGGGGAGCAAACCGGAUUAGAUACCCGGGUAGUCCCAGCCGUAAACGAUGUGCGUUAGGUGUAUCGGUGACCACGAGUCACCGAGGUGCCGAAGAGAAAUCGUGAAACGUACCGCCUGGGAAGUACGGUCGCAAGGCUGAAACUUAAAGGAAUUGGCGGGGGAGCAC